Long non-coding RNA from Rosa rugosa (rugosa rose), 1107 nucleotides. RefSeq lists it as uncharacterized. The record is from RefSeq and is a predicted model, not a curated record. NCBI's taxonomy places the organism in Eukaryota, Viridiplantae, Streptophyta, Magnoliopsida, Rosales, Rosaceae. The transcript has 5 exons.
UCUCUCAUCCUCCUUGCCGGAAAUCGCCGCCGCCGUACCGCCGCCGGCCGCCGGAACCCCUCUCCUCACCAAAAUUUCCAGAUUUUCUCCUCUUCCUCCCCUCUUUCCAUUUCUCCAACCAAAAUCAUGAAAUUUAGCCAUUUAAUCCUCCAAAAACCCUAGAACCCGAAGCUAAAAUUGGGGCUUUUGUGAUUUCUUCUUUCCAAGCUCAAAUCAAGGUAGGCUACGGGUUUGGCAAUGAUUUUUGGUGAAGAAGGCCAAUGAAGAGGAUUAGGCCAUGAGUUUUGAAGAAGAAAGGGACCCGAGCGGGUGCACUUGGAUUUGGAUAAAGGAUCGAAAGUCGGGAACGAACCCGAAUGUGGGCAAGCACUCCAAUUCCAGUGUGCAGGUUUCGAACAUGUGGUCGGGGAGCGUACGAAGGAGGCAUAUGGCUCGGCUUGGCGCAUUCUUCUUUGACUUAUUUAAAAGAAGGUUUUGGUCCCUUCUUGGGUUUUGAAAUCACUUGUUUAGUUAUUUAUUUAUUUAUUUAUUUAUUUCCUACUCGUUUACAAAAAUUCCGGGAGACCCGUAACCCUGGGGCGCGUCUCCCAUACUUGUAGUUACUUAGUGAUCUGUUUUAUUUUCCAAAUUGGGCUCCGAUCGCAAGCCCAAAACUCUUAGCCCAUUUCGAAUUCCGCUUUUGUAAAUGUGUUGUUUGGUUGCUAGAAUGACUUGUCCAGGAAAAUGUUUUGUGAACCAACCAGCUAAACCCAAAAGGCCUUGCGGUUUCGGGUUGAUGAGUCAUCGGGAUGUCAUGCGUGACAUGUCGAUUUCUCAUUGGCUCGGGGUCGCGGCACUGUGGGACCCCCCUCUCGGGUCACCACACUAGUUUAACUGGGACUCCUUGUGUCAUUAGGAUUCCUUUUCCUGGCAGGAGUAGGUUUCCUAGUCCAACUAGGACACUGCAUUUUUCGCCUAUUCUCCAAUCAUGUUUUCUAGUUGACCCAGGAUUCCUACUUUGACUGAUUUUCCCAGUCGGACCAGGAUUUCCUGGCUGGACCGGACCAGGAAAACUUCAUUUCUUCAUUUUUGUAGCCCUCGUGCCUUGCUUCUAUUAUUUCCAACGUU